Cercocebus atys (sooty mangabey) is the source of this 10340-nucleotide long non-coding RNA. RefSeq lists it as uncharacterized. The transcript is spliced from 2 exons. Lineage: Eukaryota; Metazoa; Chordata; Mammalia; Primates; Cercopithecidae. The record is from RefSeq and is a predicted model, not a curated record.
ACUCCUGGGCUCAAGCCAUCUGCCUGCCUCAACUCCCAAAGUGCUAGCAUUCUAAGCAUGAGCCUCUGCUCCUGGCCUCCCAUCUUCUCUGUUAGCACUUCACAUUCUUAGCUCCUCCUUGAUAUUUUCUCUAGGGUUCUUGCUAUGGUCUGAAUGUUUGUAUCCUCCCAAAAUUCAUAUGUUGAAAUCCUGACCCCCAAGGUGAUGAUAAUGGAGAGUGGGACAUUUGGAAGAUGACUAGGUGAUGAGGGCAGAUCUCUCGUGAAUGGGACUAGUGCUCUUAAAAAAGAGGCCCCUGAGAGAUCCUGUACCUCUUCUACCAUCUGAAGACAUAGCAAGAAGGCACUGUCUUCUUGAAAGCGGUCCCUUACCAGAUGCCAAAUAUGCUGGCACCUUGAUGGUGUACUCCCCAGCCUCCAGAACUGUGAAAAAUUAAUUUCUGUUAUUUAUAAGCUACCCAGUCUACAGUAUUCCAUUAUAGCAGCUUGAAUGGACCAAGUCAAUCCCUUUCUGGUGAGUAACACCAUUCUCUUUAGGUAGCGGCAAUUACUUAGACUUCUAUUAUGAUUUUUUUCCUUUAUUAAAGCCUAUACAUACUGUUGGCCAUUUUCUCUGUUAUCAUGUUGAAAAAUAAGGCAUACACUGAUCAAAGGUAUUCGUUACUUAGGUUAUUUUAAUUUUUUAAUCGUUUGCUCUUAUUUGAAUUUUAACAAAGGGUUUCUGGAGUCAAAGCUUUAACCAAGAAAAGACAAAUAUUUAAUGAAAUUUAAUGAAAUUUCAGAUGGGUUGGAGAAUGUAUUGAUAUUUGGAAACAGGCUAACAUUAAGGACCCAUAAGUUUAUCCCACAGACUGUCAAAUAGUUCUAGUUGAACAUAUAGUUCUUUUUUGACAACAAUAAAGGGAUGAAAUGAUACUUGUGUCUUUUAAUACAAAUGGGCAUUUGAAAAUUCCUUUUCACAAGGUUUUCUGUGCUUCAUUGUUGCCUCUAGAAGUUGAAAGUGGGGGUGGUUUUCUUGAAGAGAUUGGAGCAAAAAGGAACAAACUGGUAGCAGGUUUGCAAGCCUUCUCUCCUUAGCUAUUUCUCUGAGAGUCUAAAGAUCCUCAAGGGAGAGGCACCAAAUGCAGGUCAUCAAUUCCAUUCAGGUCCAUAGUCUGAGCUCCUAAAAUGGCAUAAUAUGCAGUCUGAAAAAGAGAGGCAGUCAUCUAAUUCAUUUUGUUCUCAGAGUAGAGAAGUGUAGUACAUGAUUACAGAUUGAGCCUUUAGGAGAUCAAUAAAAAUAGCUCUGACAGCCAUUUCCAAUAAAAAUUUUUUUUUUUCACUGAGCAGAGUAGCCAAUCAAUGAAGACAUUUUUGGAGUUCUUGUUUGGUAGAAUGUUUGGAGAUAUUAAGUCUCCAAAGGCAGUCAUGGGAGAAAGGAACGUAUGAUUGAUGCAGGACAAAAACGAGAUUCCUUAUUUUAAGAGAGUGUUUUAUGACCUUUAAGUUUCAAAAUAAGAUUUUCUUUUAAAAUCUGUCUCUAAAUAAGAGUUGACUGAGCAAUAGUUCUCCCACUUUCCACUCUUAUGCUGGUAUCAUUAUUUUCACUGAAAGUGCCAUUUAGUAUAAAAGGGUUGAAAUUGUAAUAACUGUGGUCUGAGAGUCAUUCAUGUUACCAUAAGGAUUUUUCCCCACUCUCAGUACCAAGUAGUUAUUUCUUUGCUCUGAUAAGGCAAGAAUUAGGGAGUAGAGAAAUUGUAGAAGGUUUGUGUGAAUUGAUUUUUAUUCUAACUAAUUACUGUAGAAAUUAAGAAUAGCAGUGUAUUCACUUUACACCCUUUUCCUCUGUAUAUUUCUUCCCUUUAAAAGACAAAAUUUAAAAUUCUUAGUACUGUAUUUUAUUAGCAACCAGGCAUUUCUUCUGGUAGAACCACAAUAAAGCCUUUUCCCUCGUAUUCAUCUGAACGUGAUUUCUUUCUGCAGCUGGAUAAGUACAUUGAUUUUAUGUUUCAUGGAGAUUAGAGGUUUAACAAAAUGAUAAUAGGGAUUACUGAUUCUAAUUUUUCCUACAUUGUUAUUGGAUUUAGCUGUCUUUUUAACCCACACAGAGUCUUUAAAGAUGUUUUCUCUUUGCUCUAGACAACGUUAAAUAAAAUGUAUCAUCAUAAUGACAAAUCAGUCAUGUUAAAUAAACAAAAUUAGGGUUGUAAAUGUUUACGAAAAGACUUAAGCCAGCUUUUAAAUACCUAUACAAUCUUCUUCAUUCUGGCUUGUCUUUGCUAUUUUACUGAAUUUUUCUUUCUUUCUGAAAUCUUUUUUGUUGUUUUUUUGAAGAGGAAGUAUGUUCACAUGGAUUAAAAACUCAAAAGAAUAUAAAAAUAUGUGUUAAGGAGUCUCAUUUCCACUCCUGUUCCCACUUUUCUUCUUCUUUCUCUACUCCUUCCAUUCUACCCUCCAGGUAAUAACUUUUAUUGGUUUAUUGUAAACUCUUCCAAUUGUUUCGUGUAAAUACACCUAUUUAUUUUCCUUACCCCCGUUUUUUUCCCCCAAAAGUUUAUUUAAUAUGUAAAUUGUUCUAAACCUUUCUAAUUGUUAUAUCUUCUAAUUAUUUUCUCUCAUCCCUGAAACUGUAAACAUCUCUCAAAUUUUUUGGCUUUUUCAGUCAGACCCGUCUCUGAGUGCUGGUUUUGCUACUUACUAAGUGUGUGACCUUGGAUUAAACUUGAGGGUCUUAGUUACUUUACCUGUAAAAAUGGAAUUAUCAGUAUCUAUGGCAUAGGGUUGUUAUGAGGACUAAAUGAGGUAACUUACAGCUAGUAGCCAAUGUGGGUGAUCAAUAUAUCUCAGUUUCUCUUUCCUUUCCUCUGGCUUUUUCUCUCUUUCUCAUAGUGAAAGCAACCCUCUCCAUCAUCCCUUCCUUGAAUCAAAGCUAUAGUAACAUCACAGAUAGUCUCCUUGUCUGUAGUAUAGCUCCUGUACAUCUGUUCUUCACAGUGCAAGUAGAGUGGUCUUUCUGUGGCUUGUAUCACCUGCACAGAGGGGAUCCUUCAAAGGGCAUAUUAUACUCUUCAUGAUACUCUUCUUAUCUGUGCAGUUUCAUUGUAUAUGCUUUCCUCCUUGUCCAGAAGUCCCAUUCCCAGCUUUUGACAAGCUCUUAUGGAUUGAUUUGUGGCCCCCCACCCCCACUGUCACCCCACUCAAAGAUGUUGAAGUUCAAACUCCUAGUACUUGUGAAUGUGACCUUAUUUGGAAAUAGGGUCUUUGCAGGUGAUCAGGUUAAGACGAAAUUAUUAGGGUGGGCUCUAAUCCAACAUGACUGUGCCCUUAUCAAAAAAAAAAAGAAAUUCAGACACAGACCACACACACACACACACGGUGAAUGCCAUUUGAAGAUUGGAGUUAUGCUGCCAUAAGCCAAGGAACUACCAGAAACUAGGAGGGAGGCCUGGAACAGGCUCUACUCUAGCUACCUUCAGAGGGAGCAGAGCCCAGCACGCACCUUGAUGUUGGACUUCUAACCUCCACAACGGUUAGACAGUAAAUUUCUGUUGUUUAAGCUUCCCAGUUUGUGGUGUGUUGUUAGGACAGCCACAGGAAACUGAUAUGCAAGCCUUUUAAAAUUUCGUCUCAAAGCUACCUUCUCUAUAAAGCCUUCCUCUCACAUAAGGGGUUCCUGCCUCUAUGUUUUUUUUUCUUCCUCUAUUAGAUUAUCUUGCUUUAUAAAAAACAUUUAAGUUAAGGUACUUCAAGUUCAGUACCUCUAGACCAUGAGCUACUUGAGGAGAGCCAUUGCAUCUUUUCAUCUUUGAAUUCCCAGUGGUCCAUAACAUACAGUACGCACCAAGCAAACCGAAGUUAAAUGGAGUAGGCUAAAACUUUUUAGGACCCCAGGGUGUUCUUGGUUAGAUCUUUGGUUACAUUUGUAGUGCAUUUAUAAAAUGCCUCUUGGAAUUUUUAAAAACAUUUUAAUUUUUAAUUGACAAACAUUCUAUAUAUUAUGUACAACAUGAUGCUUUAAGAUAUGUAUACAUUGUGGAAUGGCUCAAGAGAACUAAUUAACAUCUGCAGUACUUCACAUAACUUGCCUUUUUGUGUGUGGUAAGAACACUUAAAAUCGACUGUCUUAGUGGUUUUCAAAAUUGGAAUUGUUGUCUUUUUACAGAUGGCUAGUGUCAUCUCUUAUGUAUGUGUUUUUACUAUAGUUGAGUCACAUCCUUUAAAGAAUACAGCUUUAAGGAUUCUUUAAAGUUAGCUUUAAUAUAUAACCAAAAUUAAAUUUAAAAAAUCUUUAAAAAAUGUCUUAUAAAAUAUAGUACAUACAGUUUUUUUGGUGUGUAUGCCAUCUGGUACACUAAUUUUUGUGCAUCCUAAAGUUGAGAAUCUUAGGAAAUGGGUUCCCUAAAUAAAGCCAGAAACUGGGAAAAAGUAGUUCCAUUUAAAAAAUUAUCUUCCAGCCUGCAGAGGUGGCAUAUGUAACUUGGUUCGUAUUAUGAGUCUCUUCUCAGAGUGUAAACACAACAUGGCUUUAUUUUUUUUUUGCAUUUAUUGCUUCCAGCUCUGCUGUGAUGAACCUUCACCUCCCACAGAGAAUGCAGUCCCAGCUCAAUGGCAUCUCCUCAGAUUUGUUCUCAUAUAAGUGGGAUCAUAACACCUACUAUUUGUGACUUGCUUAUGUACUUUCCAGUAUAUCUUGGAGACAGUUGUGAAUCAGCACACAUUAAGCUACCUCAUUCUUCUUCAUGGCUUUAUAAUAUUUUGUUGUAUGACUGUGUCAUAAUUUAUGUAGUUGUUGAUGGGCAUGCAGGCUGUUUUCAUUCUUUUAGCUAGUAAAAACACGUAUGUGACUUCUUAGAGGCCCUUGAUUGUUUUGUUUCUACAUUGUGAGAUUAUGAAUUGACAGAAUAAAAGGUUAAAGGUAUUUAGAUGAUUUUCUUCACAUAUCUGGCUUUUAAUGAACUAUUUUAGGUUACCAUGACUUUCAUAUAGUACUUCAGUGUAAUACUAAUAAUCUGUCAAAUGAAGUGACUGGUGAAUCAUUCAGUGUUAGUCUAGAAAUGUCUAACUCAGUCGUGCAGGGUUGAAUUAGAGCAAUUCUUCUGAAACACACAUGUGGCAAAAGUCAGGUUUUGUUUUGUUUUAAAAAAUUUUUCCAAUCCUUUGUAGACCAAUACUUUUGUAAAAUACAGUAAAAACAAAUUAUCAUAAAAAUAAAAUUAAAACUGCAUACAAACUACAAAGCCUAGAUGAUUAACACAGACCAGUGGUUCUUAAAGGAUACUCUGGUAUCCUCAAUCAUUUGUCUGAUGUAAAAGGCAUCAAAAAAUUUGACAACAGCUACUAUUGGGAAUUUUUAUUAUCUUUAUAAGUUUUUGUUUUUCCACCAUUAUAAAUAAAUGAAAUGUUAAAAGUGAACCCAGGGUUUCUUUUAUUAUAUACCUAUAACCCAUUUUGAAAGAAUACCAUGUAUAUCAAGAUUCAAUGCCUUCGAUGUGACAAAUAAGCUUGCUUUUUGCUUGUUAAUUUAUCUAAUCUUAGUUCGAUUGAUGACAGUGCCACUUGAGGGAGAUAACGUAUGUCUAAACUGUUUCCGUUGUCUGUUUUAAUAACACUCCUAGUAGAGAAACCAGUCUCAUAGGAGUAUUUGAUUGUUAUAUAAGAAGAGAUUUUAAGAAAAGUUUAGCAAGCUCAGGAUGUUCUUUUUAAAAUUUUGCUCAAAAUUAAGCAAGUCAUCCUGUAUUUUCAAAAUUCAUCUUCAAUUUUUUAUCAGUAGUUAAUUCUAACAAUUUGUCCUUUAAAGUUAUAGCCAAAUUUAAAUGACCUUUCACUAGAGGUAAUAGGUUUGAAAUUAAUGCAUCUCCUAUGUUUUGAUCUCCUUUAAUGGAAAACAAAAUUCAGAAGUUUCAUGAAAUUAAUAAGGUAAUUGGUACAAUAUAUCAAUUAUCACCUACUUCACUGAUAAUUAUUGAUAAAUUAUAGAACAUGCCAUAAUGUUUUUCCAAGGUUUUAAAAUUUGCUUUUCUCCUUUGAUCUCAUAUGCCAUCCCAAAAGAUGUUGCAGUCCUUUUGUUCUAUUGAAAUAUUAAGAAAAUAUAAAUGCCACAAAUAUCAGCUAAACAAAUCUGGGUGUUCAAUUAACAUGUUUAAGUACUUGGGACCAAACUGCUCUCUUCUGUUGCAGCCAAAAAAGAAAUUCAUUUUGUAGUUCAAACAUUCUCUACAUAAUUUUUCCCCUUGAUAACUGCUGUAAUUCAACUGCAUAAGUUUUUUUAAUUGAUGAUGAUAAUUUGAUGAUAAUGAUAAUGAUGAUUAGAUUACCAUUUCAAUACCUUAAAACUCUGGAUGGGUCCUGCUUAAAGGUACUUGUGGAAAUGGGAGACCCCAGAGGAAGCUCUUCCUAGGCUGCAGUGACCUGGUUAUUGGCCUAGUAUUUAAUGGAGGUACUCUAACACUGCUGAUAGUGCUCUGUUGCAAUCUGUCCAUCCACAGAUUAUUAUGCUGAUUGAGAAAGUAUAAUACAGAAAUGCAGCAUAUAAAGUCAUUCUCAUUUAUGCCAGUUCUUUUGAGCCUCCUAGAUGUAAAGAUUAUACAUGUUUUUCAUUUUGAGUUUAAUUCAAGGUCCUACUGUGUCUAUUUUCCCUUACUAAUUUGCAUAGCAUCCCUGUCUUUCCUGUCUCCUGCUUCUUUUCCUCCAGUUCCCUCUGUUCUUCUUAUUAGGUCUAGAUCUCUCUAUGUGAUGUAAGUUUUCCUCUAGUUAAUCCUCAUUUUCUUGCACUGUCCUGGGUAAUCUUUCUCCUUGGAUCCAAAGAAUUGUAACUGGUUUUUAAUUUAAUGUUAGGCAUAUUAUUUAUAUGUAAUUAUAAUUUAUGUUGAUAAGGUAGUGGAAAGAACACCAGGCUUUUGGGAAAGGAGGCCUGGGCAUUUUCAUUUUGUCUUCAUUCUUUAUUUGAAUUUUAUUUUUCUCCUUUAUUAAAUAAUGUGAUUAGACUAUAUUGAUGGUUCCUAGACCUGCCUGUACUUCAGAAUACCUGAGGAACUUGAUAAAAAUACAGAUGUUCAGUAUUUUACUUUACUCCAGAGCUACUGAGUUUGUUUAGGGACUGGGGGAUUGGGAGUGAGGGGGAUAGUUUAUUAACAGCUUCCACAUAUAAUAGACUUCAUAACAAGGUUUGGGAACGACUGGAUUAGAUUACCUCCAAAGUCUUCCACAUCUAAAAUGAUGUGUUUGAUAUUUAACCUCAUCUUUCUUUCCUUUCAACCAUCCCCAUCUUCCAUCAGAACAUCUUGAAGGCUGAAAGUGUGAACUUAUUUAAGACAGUGGGAGAUUAUUGUGUCCAGAUCUAUAUACUUAUUUUGUCAAGGUUUCUAAACAUUGCUGUAUUUUACAAAAUUAUUGUUUAAAUGACUAAUAAUAAUAUGCACAGUAUGGGAAUUUACCUAGAAAAUAAAAAGCCACUAAAGAAAGACAUACAUUACAGGCAUAAAGCCUAUGAAACCAUAUUUGGAAAACAUGAAAACAAAAAGAAAUACCGUAGCUUGUUGCUCCCAAGAACCAUACAAAAUUUAUGAUAUGGCACAAUAUGACUGAUUCCUGGAAUCAAUUAUAUCUCGCAAUAAUAAAUUGUGAGGUUUAGAAGGAGCCUAUAAAUCAUGUGCAUUUUACAAAGGAAGGAAUGAGGAGACCCCAAGAACUUAAGACCACCAUCCAAUGAGUGAUGGAGCUGGAGUUACAAAUGAUUUUCAAAGAAAUAGUUUCUUCUUUUAAUGGAAACAAGACUACUUCUACAACAAAGUAUUGGAAUAUUCUGCUGAUUUUUAAUUAUGCUUAAAACUUCUCAUUUGUCAUAGUAGAAGAUAGUUAUAUUUUGAAUAUAAUAAAGCAUUUUGAGAAAUCGGUUAAACAUAAUAUUAUUAUGUCUUUUUAGGUCAUUUCUUCAUUUAAAUCAACUUGCAUAUUCAUAAUGUGCUGUCUUAUAGCCUCAGUUUUAGGAAAUGCAAUAAAUAUUAUUAUCUGUCCGUUCCCACAGCAGUUAAUCAUACCUGUGGUCCCCUGUAAAAGAUCCCUUCAAAUCUCUUAUCAGAGAAUGAUGCUGGGCCUUGGGGGUGGAUUUCUGGUCAAUAAAUUUCUCUAGGGAAGAUGGGAUCUGAGAAAAAUUAAUGUCUUGUGCUUGAACUCAUGAACUUGGAACCACACAGAUCAGGGCUUGAGUAUUUUAUUUCUUAUGGGUAGGUUAACCAGAACUACAGAGAAAUGAAACUGAUUUGGGAAAUCAGCCUUCUAGGAGUUAAAGAAAAUAUUUUUAAUGAUCUAGGUUUUCUUCAGAUUCUAGUAUACAAGCAGAAACAGGCCAGUAUGAUUAUUUUCUGUUACUGUUCUAAAGCUGGUGCUUCUGCUAGUUCUGAUACUUGUACCAUAGUUGCUUGGCUAAGUGACAUUUCUGACUUCAGCAAUAGCAUCCUUAGGUAGAGAACAUUGUAGGUUACAUGCUCAACCAACUUUUUGCUUUUGUCUUCUUCCUGAGAGAAUUCUGAUUUUGUCCAAACAUCCAUCUCUCCUCCCCAGAACUAAGUGCUUUAGGAGAAGUUGGCUUCAUCCCCAGUUAUAGCAGACAGGUCCUGAACAGACUAAGCUGGUCUUGACUAUUCCAAAGGGAUCACCAGUGAUUGGUUUAGGAGUGACAUGUGUCUUGUUCUGACAAAUAAGAUGUGAGGGAAGGUCUGCUGGAAUGGAGGUGGAGAGUUCUGGGAAAGGUUUUCUUGGUCUUAUGAAGGGUGCACCAGAAGACACCAUCCCUCUUCUGCCUCUUGACAUUGCCCUGUUGAAUGUUAUAUCUGGAACUAGUCCAUUUUACUACCAUCCUAAGGAUGAAGCCAACACAGAGGAGAGAACCCGUAUCACAGAGGGAAGUAGUGCCCCAAUCAUGCAAACGCUGCAGUUUUUCUGCCUGUGAAUAUCUCAUAUUGUAUAUGAGACAAUACAUAUUAUUUCAACAAAUUAAAACUGUGUUUAGAGCUGAAGUGAUUCUAACUACUUCAUCUCUUCUAUCAUUCUACCACGGUCAGGUUUUUUCCUAAUUUCUCAUAGCACAACCAAGGCAAGACUAUAAAGAAAAGAAUGUACAGUCUGGAGGCUAAUUUUCAACUGCUCAAAAACCCAGACCAACCCUAGGGUCUGUUCCUAGGUUUGGGAGACAUGGAGAUGCAUCAGAGAACACUUCUGAUGGGUAAUGCUUGCUCCAGAGAUGCCCUCCGGUGUGAUCAGGGCUUCAUCAGGCUUGUAUGACAUUUGGACUUUUUCCUUUGUCCAGUUCUGCUUCCUUGCCCCUCCUCUCACUGGUGUUAUUCCCUAAUAAAUAUUUUGAUCCUAAACAAUGUCUUGACAGCUGCUUCUGCAGAAUUCAACCUGUGAUUCCAGAUCAGCUUCAUAUUACCUUCUGUCCUGCCUCUAUGAGGCCAAGAGCAGGUCAUCUCUUUUGAUCAUUCCAGAUUUUUCUGAAUUUUCGUCUCCUAAGCAGAGUGACCAGAGAGAAGCUUUUUUAUUUCCAGAGAUUCAUUUUCAGCUGCAGGAAAAACUUCUUCCCAGGAUGUUUUACAGUGGGAUAUUCAGUUUUUUCAGGGGAAAAUCCAUCCCUGUUCAUAGGGGCAGAGUCUGGCUGCCUAACUCCAAAAAGACAAUUGCAAAGUAGUCUGAUAUUUUUGUAUUGUCUUGUUUAUAUAGUCUUACCUGUGUUCAUCUUAUUACCAUCCUAGCUGAUUUCAGAUGAAUGGCUUAAUCCUCUUAGUUUCUGCUUUCUUAUUCAUUAAAUAAGAAUAAUGUCCCCCUCACAGAAUUGUAGUUAGACUAAGUGACAUAAUAUGUAACAAGUACAGUGCUGAAUAUAGUAUGCUUUCAGUAGAGCUUAGAUACCUAGGCCUUCUCCCUCCCCAUCCUCACUUCUCCUUUUGCCCCCCUAUAAAUUUAGUUUCUUGGUGAAAUUGUGUAAAAAUGAACAUCAGGGUCAAUCUUGAAAAGGGAAGUUGGUCAAAUAUGGUAUUAUUAUUAAGCCUAGGUAUAUGUGUAGAAGGGAGGAAGAACAGUUUCAUUUGUCAGACUGAUGAAGAUUUUAGAGAUACAUUGAAAGUAUAUAUCUUAGAGUGAUUUGUUUGUUUUUAGCAGUUUGUUUUAGCAGUCUCCUACCAGCUGCUUUAGGGAGGUAACUGUCAUACUGUUUAUGGGCUCUGUUUAUGCUGAGCUUUCCCCAAAGUGAAUUUAGAUCCUAAACAUUGAGGUCCAGGGACCUGCUGAUAUGACGUAUUCUGACAGAUGCAGACUAGGCUAUUAUUUUAACCCCAUAUCCUAUGUUUAGAUUAAAAAAAAAAAAAAAAA